Molecule: ribosomal RNA, 1446 nt
Filed under: Lepocinclis tripteris
Lineage: Eukaryota; Euglenozoa; Euglenophyceae; Euglenales; Phacaceae
Description: bacterial SSU rRNA
Rfam family: Bacterial small subunit ribosomal RNA
Source: RNAcentral
AGAGUUUGAUCCUGGCUCAGGAUGAACGCUGGCGGUAUGCUUAACACAUGCAAGUCGUACGGUCUCUUUGAGAUAGUGGCGGACGGGUGAGUAACGCGUAAGUUAUCUACGUUUAGGAGAGGUAUACCAAAUGGAAACGUUUGUUAAUUCCUCAUAAUACUUAACAGUUAAAUGGAAUUUCCGCCUAAUCAUGAGCUUGCGUCUGAUUAGCUUGUUGGUGAGGUAAUAGCUUACCAAGGCAACGAUCAGUAGCUAUUUUGAGAAGAUGAAUAGCCACACUGGGAUUUAGAACGGAACAGACUCCUACGGGAGGCAGCAGUGGGGAAUAUUUGGCAAUGGGCGAAAGCUUGACCAAGCAAUACCGCGUGAAGGAUGAAGGCUCUAGGGUUGUAAACUUCUUUUCUGAUUGAUGAAUUUUGACAGUAAAUCAGGAAUAAGCAUCGGCUAACUCUGUGCCAGCAGCCGCGGUAAUACAGAGGAUGCAAGCGUUAUCCGGAAUUAUUGGGCGUAAAGCGUCCGUAGAUGGUUUUUUAAGUUCCAUGUUAAAUUGCAAAGCUUAACUUUGAAAGUGCAUUGAAAACUGAAAAACUUUAGUACGAUAGAGGCAAAGGGAAUUUUCAGUGUAGCGGUGAAAUGCGUAGAUAUUGGAAAGAACACCUAUUGCGAAGGCACUUUGCUAGGUUGAUACUGAAAUUGAGGGACGAAAGCUAGGGUAGUAAAAAGGAUUAGAUACCCUUGUAGUCCUAGCUGUAAACAAUGGACACUAAGUGGUGCUUAUGUACUGCUGUAGCUAACGCGUUAAGUGUCCCGCCUGGGGAGUACGCUUGCAAAAGUGAAACUCAAAGGAAUUGACGGGGGCCCGCACAAGCGGUGGAACAUGCGGUUUAAUUGAAUGAUACAUCAGAACCUUACCAGGGUUUGACAUAUUAGUUCGUUCUUUGAAAGAGGAAUUUGCCCCAAAAGGGAAUCUAAUACAACUGGUGCAUGGCUGUCGUCAGCUCGUGUCGUGAGACGGAUGGUUAAUUCCCAUAACGAGCGCAACCCUUUUUUCUUGUUAUUUUACUAGAAAUACUGCCAGUGAUAAAUUGGAGGAAGGUGAGGAUGAGGUCAAGUCAUCAUGCCGUUUAUGUCCUGGGCUACACGCGUGUUACAAUGGGUGAGAACAAUGAGUUGCUAAUUCGUGAGAAGGUGCUAAUCUCUUAAAAUCAUCCUUAGUUCGGAUAUAAACCUGCAACUCGGUUUAUUGAAGUUGGAAUCGCUAGUAAUCGCCGGUCAGACAUACGGCGGUGAAUACGUUCUCGGGCCUUGUACACACCGCCCGUCACACCAUGGAAGUUGGUUUUAUCUGAAGUGGUUUUCUUUUUUGAGAAACUAUUAAGGUUGGGUUAGUAACUGGGGUGAAGUCGUAACAAGGUAGCCGUACUGGAAGGUGUGGCUGGAACAACU